Molecule: ribosomal RNA, 256 nt
Filed under: Pseudocyphellaria homoeophylla
Lineage: Eukaryota; Fungi; Ascomycota; Lecanoromycetes; Peltigerales; Lobariaceae
Description: partial 26S ribosomal RNA
Rfam family: Eukaryotic large subunit ribosomal RNA
Source: RNAcentral
UUUGACCUCGGAUCAGGUAGGGAUACCCGCUGAACUUAAGCAUAUCAAUAAGCGGAGGAAAAGAAACCAACAGGGAUUGCCUCAGUAACGGCGAGUGAAGCGGCAACAGCUCAAAUUUGAAAUCUGACCCCUUCGGGGCCCGAGUUGUAAUUUGUAGAGGGUGUUUCGGGCGCGGCGCCGGUCUAAGUUCCUUGGAACAGGACGUCAUAGAGGGUGAGAAUCCCGUAUGUGACUGGCGAUCAAGUCCAUGUGAAGC